RNAcentral lists this ribosomal RNA (497 nucleotides) under uncultured bacterium. Its description in RNAcentral is "partial 16S ribosomal RNA". It matches the Rfam family "Bacterial small subunit ribosomal RNA", at positions 28 to 507 of the family's 1533-position model. The record is from RNAcentral.
GAUGAACGCUGGCGGCGUGCCUAAUACAUGCAAGUCGAGCGAACAGACGAGGAGCUUGCUCCUCAGACGUUAGCGGCGGACGGGUGAGUAACACGUGGAUAACCUACCUAUAAGACUGGGAUAACUUCGGGAAACCGGAGCUAAUACCGGAUAAUAUAUUGAACCGCAGGGUUCAAUAGUGAAAGACGGUUUUGCUGUUACUGAUAGAUGGAUCCGCGCCGCAUUAGCUAGUUGGUAAGGUAACGGCUUACCAAGGCAACGAUGCGUAGCCGACCUGAGAGAGGGAUCGGCCACACUGGAACUGAGACACGGUCCAGACUCCUACGGGAGGCAGCAGUAGGCAAUCUUCCGCAAUGGGCGAAAGCCUGACGGAGCAACGCCGCGUGGGUGAUGAAGGUCUUCGGAUCGUAAAACUCUGUUAUUAGGGAAGAACAAAUGUGUAAGUAACUAUGCACGUCUUGACGGUACCUAAUCAGAAAGCCACGGCUAACUACGUG